UACGGAGGGUGCAAACGUUGCUCGGAAUUAUUGGGCGUAAAGCGCACGUAGGCGGUCUGUUAAGUCGGAUGUGAAAGCCCCGGGCUCAACUCGGGAAGUGCAUCCGAAACUGGCGAGCUAGAGUACGAAAGAGGAUCGCGGAAUUCCCGGUGUAGAGGUGAAAUUCGUAGAUAUCGGGAGGAACACCGGUGGCGAAGGCGGCGAUCUGGGUCGAUACUGACGCUGAGGUGCGAAAGCGUGGGGAGCAAACAGG
This 253-nucleotide ribosomal RNA is filed under the name uncultured bacterium. RNAcentral describes it as "partial 16S ribosomal RNA". It matches the Rfam family "Bacterial small subunit ribosomal RNA", at positions 524 to 776 of the family's 1533-position model. The record is from RNAcentral.